GGCCGGCUCCUCCUCUCCGGUGAAGGCACCGGCAGGGCAUCCGGCAACCCCAACCCCAAAACCACGAACGUGAUCUCCCAAGUGGCGCCAGCUUCCCGGCACGCCAGAGCUGUUCGCUAGGCUUGGAGCUCCGAAAUUGGAGAGCCUCUCGCCGGCGCUGUGCUAGGUGCUGAAAAGUUCAACCUCUGGAGUGUAACUGAAAGUGUCUCUGGAGUGUCCCCCCCCCAUUCCGGCAAGUGUGUGUGAGAGACCAGCAUUUCCAUUAGGAAAAGAUGAUGUCCAGUGAGGGUACUCAUCAACAAAAUGAAGACUUAGUCCAUAAAGAGAAUGCCACAGCAAGACAGAGACCAGUGCAUGGCUGGUGAUGCAUAUGUUCAGAAUUACAAUGUGAAGGACUGAAUGAGAAAAGAACUGAAAAAAAAGGAAAAUAUUGUGUCUGAAACUCUGAAGUGUGGUUGUUAGCUCUGAUAGUCUGUCAGGGCUAAGACAGAAAUUAAAAGAUGGCGACCACCAAAGACACAU
Non-coding RNA from Pogona vitticeps (central bearded dragon), 522 nucleotides. NCBI's taxonomy places the organism in Eukaryota, Metazoa, Chordata, Lepidosauria, Squamata, Agamidae. The record is from RefSeq and is a predicted model, not a curated record.